ACUCCAUGAAGGGCUGGGGAUGUAG
Molecule: non-coding RNA, 25 nt
Filed under: Cricetulus griseus (Chinese hamster)
Lineage: Eukaryota; Metazoa; Chordata; Mammalia; Rodentia; Cricetidae
Source: RNAcentral